GAAAUGCGAAACGUAGUGUGAAAUGCAUAGACCUGUGAAUCAUUGAAUCUUUGAACGCACCUUGCGCUCUGCGGCAUGCUGUGGAGCAUGCCUGUGUGAGAAUUGGAACAACUAUAACCGGGUGGUUGAUCUGGGGUGCUGUUCAGUGUGGACACGCUCUUAAAGAAAUGUCACAGCAGCAGGCGUGCAAGGCGGGUUAAGCAUGGGCUGGGGUCCAUCCGACGUCAAGCUGUCCGUGUGCUGUGCGCAAAAUUGUGUUGGUAGGCGAUUAUGUAUUAAACUGUACGUACUCGACACACCAACCAACACAUACUUCAUACACCUCUCUCACACAGGCAAGAGUACCCGCUGAACUUAA
Molecule: unclassified non-coding RNA, 358 nt
Filed under: uncultured fungus
Lineage: Eukaryota; Fungi
Description: sequence contains ITS1
Rfam family: 5.8S ribosomal RNA (bases 1-105)
Source: RNAcentral